CAUUACCACUGAUACAGGGACUGGGAGGGGUCAGGUGCCAGUACUCUUGAGUUAGCUCACAAGUUAACAGAAGAAACCCCAUCUGAGGAGGGGAAGAGAAGGACCUCCAGGACUGUAACGUUACGUUAAGUUAGACACAAACUGGAUGCUACGGUGCUGCAGUUUCAAGCCAGCAGGUUUAGUUCCAUGCCAUGCAAAUGGACAUUCUCCUUGUAGGAAGAAAUAUGUGCCUGAGGGACUGUAGCCAAGGAUCAGGUCAUGCUGCUCUACUGUGAGAAUUUGGAGUUGAGGCUUUCUACAUGUAAACCAGAUGUCUCUGCUUUCCAUCUCAACUCAGGCUACUGAGACCCUGACCUUGCUCCUGAUUUCUGGAAGCGCAGCACAUGGUUGAGGAUUGAUGAGGCUAGCCUGUGGGGAUUCUUGGAAGCCGGUUGCAUCCUUUUAGUAGUAAUUCUUGUGGCCCUUGA
Micropterus dolomieu (smallmouth bass) is the source of this 467-nucleotide long non-coding RNA. RefSeq lists it as uncharacterized. NCBI's taxonomy places the organism in Eukaryota, Metazoa, Chordata, Actinopteri, Centrarchiformes, Centrarchidae. The record is from RefSeq and is a predicted model, not a curated record. The transcript is spliced from 3 exons.